CUGGCCUCAAACUCAGAGAUCCACCUUCCUUUGCCUCACAAAUGCUGGGAUUAAAGACAUGCGCCACCACUGCCCAGCUCAUUUUUUCAAAAUGAUGAACAGGAAGGAAGUCAAGAGCAGGAUACAGUUCACUGUGCUUGCCUGACUAUGGACUGCAUUCCUCAGGCUUCCCUGAACUAACAAUAGUGUCUCCCAAAACUUGAGGUGAGAUGGCUCCGUGAAGGAAAAGCACUUGGCACCAAGCCUGAAUUAGACUCUUAGGACUCCCAUUGAGAAAGGAGAGAUAAAAGAUGCCAGCAAUUACAUAACAAAACAGAUGAGAACACUGAGACACUGACAGGACAAGUAAUACCAGCUCAUAUCUACUGAGUGUCAACACAGGCACCGAGUGUAUAAUAUAUGUAUAUAUUAACUCCUGUAACUUUCAUUCAAAAUAUAAAGGGUCUGGCAACGCAUGGUGUAGGCCUAUGAAUCUCAGCAUUCAGGAGGCUUACUGAAAAUCUGAGGUCAGCUUGAGUGAGCUACAGGCUGAGUUCCAGGCUACAGCCAGGACUACAGAACAAAAGGACCUCACUACCAACAGAAGAGAGCCACAGAGACUUAGAGG
RNAcentral lists this long non-coding RNA (607 nucleotides) under Cricetulus griseus (Chinese hamster). Its description in RNAcentral is "lncRNA (ENSCGRG00015029945.1)". The record is from RNAcentral. Lineage: Eukaryota; Metazoa; Chordata; Mammalia; Rodentia; Cricetidae.